RNAcentral lists this long non-coding RNA (1634 nucleotides) under Mizuhopecten yessoensis (Yesso scallop). RNAcentral's name for it is "uncharacterized LOC110444302". Lineage: Eukaryota; Metazoa; Mollusca; Bivalvia; Pectinida; Pectinidae. The record is from RNAcentral.
GAAUUCCUUCAGAGACAUUUUACUAAAUCAGAUGCACGGAAGGUCCUAUUAGAAUUUCAAAAGGAUUUCUAUGGGCAGCUGAAAAAUUUAAGCCUGGAUGAUAUAGAGAGACUAGCAGCCAGCAAGCUACGUGUGAAUGCUAACGGAAAUGUAAACGGACAUGAGCGAAUGACUUGACAUUUAAUUACACUUUAUUAUAUCUUUGCAAUUUUAUCUUUAUUAUGUGUCAUCUGGAAUGGUCUAAAACUAACAUGAUUAGGAGUUGAUAUACAUAUAUAUAUAGGAAAGUUGUGAAAAUUCCUUGUUUAGUGAAUUAUUGUAAACUUUAAUUACCAGCUGUAGUUUUUCUUUUCUUUUUUUUUAAAAAUUUUCAAAUUCAGUAAGUUAAAGAGUAUGGAACUAACUGUUAACUGGUUUCAUGUCCAAGUUCUAUCAAGGUAGAGUCUUUGUCAGAUAUUGGGUGUUUUAAAUUCAAACAUUUUAAAAUUGCUAUGGGGUAGAUUAAAGAAAGGAUAUGAGAACACAAGAUGCACAGUAUUUUUAACAAUUUCCUGGUACAUGUAAUACACCUAUGUAAAACAAUGAAUACACUUUGAAAGUAAAUUACUAUUACAGUUUACUUCAUAUUUUCCACCCAAAGUAAAGCCAUUGAAGAAAAUUUCCCAACACUCCACUUUUAUAUUGAAUGUUUUUUUUUAUGUCAACCUAUAUGAUGUGUUUAUGUGAAAAGAAUUUGAAAUAAUUUGUCAUAAAAUCUGGAAAUAAACGAUGUCCAUCUCAAGAGCAAUAGAAUUUCAUAGAGAUAACAUGGUCUCCACUUUAUUUUUAACGACAUUUUAUACAAUCUAAUAUUGUUAACACUCGCUGUAGUAAAGAGCAGCAUCAUCAGCAAGGCUUACAAAUGAGAAGUCUGUCGUUGUUGACCCACUGGACAGGAGGGUUCCUAUUUCCGGCAUUAUUUCAGUAUAGAUGAAUUUCCUUGUGUAUUUUCUGCUCUUGAUUGGUAGAUCAAUGUCGACAUCAACUACAAAAUCCUGUGUACUAGGACUUAAUUAAUGUAUAUCAUUAUGUGUGCUUGUUUAAUGAACUUCACAUACAUUUUGACUCAAAUUAAUUUUAUUAUAAAGGAUGGAUAUAUUCUGUUUUGUGUUAAUUAUUUAUUCAGGUUUUCAGUGAAUCAAUUACAAUAUAUAGAUUGCAUAUAUUUUAUCGUUCAUAACUUUGCAAAUUUCAUAGGAUACUUGAAUUUGUGAUCAAUGCUUAUUACAUGAAUUUUAUUAAUAUCAUGACAUAUAUAAGUAAAUCUAAAUGUAUUAUUAAACCUUUUUUAAUGAUUUGUUUCGUCUGUUUUAUAUGAACAUGUACAUUGUAUGUUGAAAUAAUUGUGUACUGAUAAUUAUGACAGCAAGUUGAUUUUCUGUGGGAGUUCCAAAUUUUGCUGACUGUGAUAAAGGCACAUUGUUUAUACAUGCGUUGUAUGACCUGGUGACAUAACUGGUAGAAAUAUCCGACCAAGUGAAUGUGGACUAGAAGUGUAGGAUUCCUAGGAGUCUGAAACUAUAUAUGUUCAUCGUCACUUUUUACUAAUAAUUGACUUAUGUGUCUUUGAUAUCCAUUAAAGUAUUUGAAAUCAU